Molecule: ribosomal RNA, 452 nt
Filed under: Enterobacter cloacae subsp. cloacae
Lineage: Bacteria; Pseudomonadati; Pseudomonadota; Gammaproteobacteria; Enterobacterales; Enterobacteriaceae
Description: bacterial SSU rRNA
Rfam family: Bacterial small subunit ribosomal RNA
Source: RNAcentral
GGAUUGGUGCCUUCGGGAACUGUGAGACAGGUGCUGCAUGGCUGUCGUCAGCUCGUGUUGUGAAAUGUUGGGUUAAGUCCCGCAACGAGCGCAACCCUUAUCCUUUGUUGCCAGCGGUUAGGCCGGGAACUCAAAGGAGACUGCCAGUGAUAAACUGGAGGAAGGUGGGGAUGACGUCAAGUCAUCAUGGCCCUUACGACCAGGGCUACACACGUGCUACAAUGGCGCAUACAAAGAGAAGCGACCUCGCGAGAGCAAGCGGACCUCAUAAAGUGCGUCGUAGUCCGGAUUGGAGUCUGCAACUCGACUCCAUGAAGUCGGAAUCGCUAGUAAUCGUAGAUCAGAAUGCUACGGUGAAUACGUUCCCGGGCCUUGUACACACCGCCCGUCACACCAUGGGAGUGGGUUGCAAAAGAAGUAGGUAGCUUAACCNUCGGGAGGCGCUACCANUU